CAGUUUUCUUUUGUGAAAACACAUUAUCAAUAGGCUGCAGAAAAGUACGCUAAAGAGAUUGAAGCGUUGAAGGAACAAACGAGGAGUAUGCUAUUAGCAACUGGAAGGAAGACGGCUGAUACGUUGAAUUUGAUUGACAUUAUUGAACGUCUUGGCAUAUCAUAUCACUUUGAGAAAGAAAUUGAUGAGAUUAGCUGAUACGUUGAAUGUGAUUGAUAUUAUUGAACGCCUUGGCAUAGCCUACCAUUUUGAGAAAGAAAUUGAUGAGAUUUUAGAGCAAAUUUACAACCAAACCUCAAACUGCAAUGAUUUGAGCACCUCUGCACUUCAAUUUCGAUUGCUCAGGCAACAUGGUUUCAACAUCUCUCCUGGUAACUUCAUCAUGAACCACACCUUUAAUAUUGUUGUUAAAAUUAUUACCAAUUUCUAGGAAAUAAAAAUUAAUCUUGAGUUUUCAUUAUUGAAAUACCUGAAAUUUUCAGCAAAUUCCAAGAUGAAAAUGGCAAAUUCAAAGAGUCUCUUGCUAGUGAUGCCUUAGGAUUAUUGAACUUGUAUGAAGCUUCACAUGUGAGGACUCAUGCUGACG
This 586-nucleotide long non-coding RNA is filed under the name Nicotiana benthamiana. RNAcentral's name for it is "long non-coding RNA (NBEN_LNC006658)". Lineage: Eukaryota; Viridiplantae; Streptophyta; Magnoliopsida; Solanales; Solanaceae. The record is from RNAcentral.